UGAAUAUUUAGCUGUCAUUCUGUCAUUUGUUUAUCUGUACCAAAUUCAGGUUUCAAUGCCCAAAGCUAGGCAAUAUAAGAAUUCCUUUUGGGGUGAGGGGGUGUGGGGUUUGGUGUGUAUUUUAACGAUUAUAAUUAGAAAGUGUUAAGAAUUGAUUAUAAUUAAAUAGGUAAAUUAUUAUUUAGUCUUUGUAUUUUAAUGA
RNAcentral lists this unclassified non-coding RNA (202 nucleotides) under Hevea brasiliensis (rubber tree). Lineage: Eukaryota; Viridiplantae; Streptophyta; Magnoliopsida; Malpighiales; Euphorbiaceae. The record is from RNAcentral.